ACAGCACAGGGAGAUACCACGACCAAGAAGGUGGUUUUCCCAGGGGGAGGCUUAUCCGUUGCAAUCUGGAUGUGCUGACCCCUGUAAUUUCCCCAAAAGUGGGAAACUCAACUGCCUAAUUCUUGGUGGUGGGGGGCUGCAUCUGUGCUUUCCCCUG
Zalophus californianus (California sea lion) is the source of this 157-nucleotide small nuclear RNA. Its record names the gene U1. It matches the Rfam family "U1 spliceosomal RNA". Rfam says of the family: U1 is a small nuclear RNA (snRNA) component of the spliceosome (involved in pre-mRNA splicing). The record is from Ensembl. NCBI's taxonomy places the organism in Eukaryota, Metazoa, Chordata, Mammalia, Carnivora, Otariidae.